This 432-nucleotide ribosomal RNA is filed under the name Agrobacterium sp. '7.1 MW-2'. RNAcentral describes it as "bacterial SSU rRNA". It matches the Rfam family "Bacterial small subunit ribosomal RNA", at positions 9 to 489 of the family's 1533-position model. Lineage: Bacteria; Pseudomonadati; Pseudomonadota; Alphaproteobacteria; Hyphomicrobiales; Rhizobiaceae. The record is from RNAcentral.
GAGAUUUAUCCUGGCUCAGAACGAACGCUGGCGGCAGGCUUAACACAUGCAAGUCGAACGCCCCGCAAGGGGAGUGGCAGACGGGUGAGUAACGCGUGGGAAUCUACCGUACCCUACGGAACAACAGUUGGAAACGACUGCUAAUACCGUAUACGCCCUACGGGGGAAAGAUUUAUCGGGGUAUGAUGAGCCCGCGUUGGAUUAGCUAGUUGGUGGGGUAAAGGCCUACCAAGGCGACGAUCCAUAGCUGGUCUGAGAGGAUGAUCAGCCACAUUGGGACUGAGACACGGCCCAAACUCCUACGGGAGGCAGCAGUGGGGAAUAUUGGACAAUGGGCGCAAGCCUGAUCCAGCCAUGCCGCGUGAGUGAUGAAGGUCUUAGGAUUGUAAAGCUCUUUCACCGACGAAGAUAAUGACGGUAGUCGGAGAAGAA